RNAcentral lists this ribosomal RNA (518 nucleotides) under uncultured fungus. RNAcentral describes it as "SSU rRNA". It matches the Rfam family "Eukaryotic small subunit ribosomal RNA", at positions 214 to 732 of the family's 1831-position model. Lineage: Eukaryota; Fungi. The record is from RNAcentral.
AUUAAAAACCAAUGCCUUUCGGGGCUCUCUGGUGAUUCAUAAUAACUUCUCGAAUCGCACGGCCUUGCGCCGGCGAUGGUUCAUUCAAAUUUCUGCCCUAUCAACUUUCGACGGCUGGGUCUUGGCCAGCCGUGGUGACAACGGGUAACGGAGGGUUAGGGCUCGACCCCGGAGAAGGAGCCUGAGAAACGGCUACUACAUCCAAGGAAGGCAGCAGGCGCGCAAAUUACCCAAUCCCGACACGGGGAGGUAGUGACAAUAAAUACUGAUACAGGGCUCUUUCGGGUCUUGUAAUUGGAAUGAGUACAAUUUAAAUCCCUUAACGAGGAACAAUUGGAGGGCAAGUCUGGUGCCAGCAGCCGCGGUAAUUCCAGCUCCAAUAGCGUAUAUUAAAGUUGUUGAGGUUAAAAAGCUCGUAGUUGAACCUUGGGCCUAGCCGGCCGGUCCGCCUCACCGCGUGCACUGGCUCGGCUGGGUCUUUCCUUCUGGAGAACCGCAUGCCCUUCACUGGGUGUGCC